UAACGCCUGAAGUCGCUUGGCUAACCGUAAGGAGGCCGGUGCCGAGGGUGGGACUGGUGACUGGGACUAAGUCGUAACAAGGUAGCUGUAGCGGAAGCUGCGGCUGGAUCACCUCCUUUCAAGGGAGCA
Molecule: ribosomal RNA, 129 nt
Filed under: Chloroflexota bacterium
Lineage: Bacteria; Bacillati; Chloroflexota
Description: partial 16S ribosomal RNA
Rfam family: Bacterial small subunit ribosomal RNA
Source: RNAcentral